This 465-nucleotide ribosomal RNA is filed under the name uncultured bacterium. RNAcentral's name for it is "partial 16S ribosomal RNA". It matches the Rfam family "Bacterial small subunit ribosomal RNA", at positions 28 to 507 of the family's 1533-position model. The record is from RNAcentral.
GACGAACGCUGGCGGCGUGCUUAACACAUGCGAGUCGAACGGAAAGGCCCCUUUGGGGGUACUCGAGUGGCGAACGGGUGAGUAACACGUGAGUAACCUGCCCUUGACUUCGGGAUAACUUCAGGAAACUGGGGCUAAUACCGGAUAGGAAUCCUUGCUGCAUGGUGGGGGUUGGAAAGCUUCGGCGGUUUUGGAUGGACUCGCGGCUUAUCAGCUUGUUGGUGGGGUAGUGGCUCACCAAGGCUUUGACGGGUAGCCGGCCUGAGAGGGCGACCGGCCACAUUGGGACUGAGAUACGGCCCAGACUCCUACGGGAGGCAGCAGUGGGGAAUAUUGCACAAUGGGCGGAAGCCUGAUGCAGCAACGCCGCGUGCGGGAUGACGGCCUUCGGGUUGUAAACCGCUUUCAGCAGGGGCGAAGCUUGUGGUGACGGUACCUGCAGAAGAAGCACCGGCUAACUACGUG